RNAcentral lists this ribosomal RNA (324 nucleotides) under uncultured eukaryote. RNAcentral describes it as "partial 18S ribosomal RNA". It matches the Rfam family "Eukaryotic small subunit ribosomal RNA", at positions 1470 to 1796 of the family's 1831-position model. The record is from RNAcentral.
CCCUUAGAUGUUCUGGGCCGCACGCGCGCUACACUGAUGCAUUCAACGAGUUUCUUCCUGGUCCGAGAGGAAUGGGUAACCUUUUGAAAGUGCAUCGUGAUAGGGAUAGACUAUUGCAAUUAUUGGUCUUCAACGAGGAAUUCCUAGUAGACGUAGUUCAUCAGACUGCAUCGAUUACGUCCCUGCCCUUUGUACACACCGCCCGUCGCUCCUACCGAUUGAAUGCUCAGGUGAGCCAUUCGGACCUUCAUCAUGCCGGUUUCCGGUUUUGAUGAGGAAAAGUCUUGCGAACCUUAUCAUUUAGAGGAAGGAGAAGUCGUAACA